This 497-nucleotide ribosomal RNA is filed under the name uncultured bacterium. RNAcentral's name for it is "partial 16S ribosomal RNA". It matches the Rfam family "Bacterial small subunit ribosomal RNA", at positions 28 to 507 of the family's 1533-position model. The record is from RNAcentral.
GAUGAACGCUGGCGGCGUGCCUAAUACAUGCAAGUCGAGCGAACAGACGAGGAGCUUGCUCCUCUGACGUUAGCGGCGGACGGGUGAGUAACACGUGGAUAACCUACCUAUAAGACUGGGAUAACUUCGGGAAACCGGAGCUAAUACCGGAUAAUAUAUUGAACCGCAUGGUUCAAUAGUGAAAGACGGUUUUGCUGUCUCUUAUAGAUGGAUCCGCGCCUCAUUAGCUAGUUGGUAAGGUAACGGCUUACCAAGGCGACGAUGCGUAGCCGACCUGAGAGGGUGAUCGGCCACACUGGAACUGAGACACGGUCCAGACUCCUACGGGAGGCAGCAGUAGGGAAUCUUCCGCAACGGGCGAAAGCCUGACGGAGCAACGGCGCGUGAGUGAUGAAAGUCUUCGGAGCGUAAAACUCUGUUAUUAGGGAAAAACAAAUGUGUAAGUAACUAUGCACGUCUUGACGGUACCUAAUCAGAAAGCCACGGCUAACUACGUG